This 482-nucleotide ribosomal RNA is filed under the name uncultured bacterium. Its description in RNAcentral is "partial 16S ribosomal RNA". It matches the Rfam family "Bacterial small subunit ribosomal RNA", at positions 28 to 507 of the family's 1533-position model. The record is from RNAcentral.
GACGAACGCUGGCGGCGUGCUUAACACAUGCGAGUCGAACGCUGAAGCUCAGCUUGCUGGGUGGAUUAGUGGCGAACGGGUGAGUAACACGUGAGUAACCUGCCCUCUUCUUUGGGAUAACGCCCUGAAACGGGUGGUAAUACUGGAUAUUCACUGAUUCUCGCAUGGGGGUUGGUGGAAAGGUUUUUUCUGGUGGGUGAUGGGCUCGCGGCCUAUCAGCUUGGUGGUGGGGUGAUGGCCUACCAAGUCGUUGGCGGGUAGCCGGGCUGAGAGGGUGACCGGGCACAUUGGGACGGAGAUACGGGCCAGACUCCUACGGCAGGCAGCAGUGGGGAAUAGUGCACGAUGGGAGAAAGCCAGAUGCAGCGGCGGCGCGUGAGGGAUGGAGGCCUGCGGGUUGUAACCCUCGUUCGCUAAUGGUCAAGCCGAAGCUUUGGGUUGUGGUGAGGGUAGUGGGUAAAGAAGCGCCGGCUAACUACGUG